Stegostoma tigrinum is the source of this 1181-nucleotide long non-coding RNA. RefSeq lists it as uncharacterized. Lineage: Eukaryota; Metazoa; Chordata; Chondrichthyes; Orectolobiformes; Stegostomatidae. The transcript has 3 exons. The record is from RefSeq and is a predicted model, not a curated record.
UACGUCAUUCAAUGCAUGACUGGAUUCUCCGUUGAUACCGUCUGUCAGACAACACUGAAACAUUUGUCCAAGGUCAAGGGGCUGGAAUCUAUGAGUUGGAGAAGAGCUGAGGGAAGGCCUCUCCUUUCUCCUCAUCUAUGGAAUAGCAAGUCGGAAAAAUACCCCGAAUGCAGCUGAAGGACAGAACCAGUAUUUAUAAAAUGCCUUUCACAACCUCAGGACAAUGCCAAAUGCUAUAAAGCUAAUGACACAGCCUCGUCCACAAGCAAAGAGGUGGUCCCCAGCACCACUUUAAAAAAGAUAUGAGAGGCAACUUUUUCAGUGGUUCAUGUGUGCAACGAAUGGCCAGAGAGAGAGUGGUGGAUGCAGGUACAGUUACAACAUCUAAAAGACAUUCACGAAUGCUGCAGCUUUCUUCUUGUGACCAUGGACAGCAAGGUCUGUGUUCUGUGUUGUUACUUUUUUGCCUCAGGACUCAUGUCAAGCUGGAAUCGUUCAUAACAGCACCGUACCUAGUCUGCUAACAAAUUACUGACUCUUUUCCCUUAGACUUUCUUAUGGGAAGUAAUGACUCCAAUUGUAUAACAUAAACACCCACACAGAGGAAGUAUUCCCAAAUAUUAUGGACGUGUUAUAACACAAAUGAGAGAGUUGGCCUUGACAUCUGAAAGUGGUCCAGGCGAGUCAGAGGAACAUUCGAGACGCUGUUGUACCUUGCCAAAAUCAAUUGAGCUACCAUCACCACAUCAAAAAUGAAUCCCUACAAUGGGAAAGUCAAACUCAAAGAAAGGAAGACUUACUAUAUACAGUACAAUAAAAUCUUUGUUUCACACUGUUCUGUAGCACUGUAAAGCGUUGAAAUUCCAUUGUAUGGUACUGUUAAUGUAUUGGAUAAUGCGUUCUUAUGAAGUUAUUAUUUUAAUAACCCUUAACCUGAUUAAAACAGCUUCCUUAAAAUAACUUGCUAAUCUUAAAUAGAUUCAAAAACUUUGUUAAAAAGGUGCCGAAGGCAUUUUAAUUUUGAUGCGCUAAAAUUCAGUGUAUGUACAGAUUUCAACUGAGUAGAGUUUGAAUGAAAAAGUAACAGAACUGGGGAUGCUAGAAAUCUGAAACAAAAACAGAAAUUGCUGGAAGUGCUCAGCAGGUCAGGUGGCAUCUACGAAGAGAAAUCAGAGUUAACG